RNAcentral lists this ribosomal RNA (998 nucleotides) under Peckia chrysostoma. RNAcentral's name for it is "eukaryotic LSU rRNA". It matches the Rfam family "Eukaryotic large subunit ribosomal RNA", at positions 114 to 938 of the family's 3401-position model. The record is from RNAcentral. Lineage: Eukaryota; Metazoa; Arthropoda; Insecta; Diptera; Sarcophagidae.
CUAAGUCACUUUGUCUUUAUGGCAAAUGUGAGAUGCAGUGUAUGGAAUGUCAAAUUUCUAGUAUGAGAAAUUAACGAUUUAAGUCCUUCUUAAAUGAGGCCAUUUACCCAGAGAGGGUGCCAGGCCCGUAUAACGUUAAUGAUUACUAGAUGGCAUUUCCAAAGAGUCGUGUUGCUUGAUAGUGCAGCACUAAGUGGGUGGUAAACUCCAUCUAAAACUAAAUAUAACCAUGAGACCGAUAGUAAACAAGUACCGUGAGGGAAAGUUGAAAAGAACUCUGAAUAGAGAGUUAAAUAGUACGUGAAACUGCUUAGAGGUUAAGCCCGAUGAACCUGAAUAUCCAUUAUAGAAAAUUCAUCAUUAUGAUUUUAAUAUUAAUAAUAUUAUAAUAAUGGUGUGCAUUUUUUCUAUAACGGACAUUGUAAUCUAUUAACAUAAAUAUAUUUAUCAUAAGAUCAAUGAUGCGUAAGUUUAUUCAAAUUAUUUUGCUUGCAAUUUAACAUAGAAUAAAUGCUCUUGAUUUGAUAAAGUGUUGAUAGAUUUAUUGUAUAUAGUGCUUAAAUAUUUUAUAUUUUAUAAUAGCAUAUUAAUCAUUGAUUUUUAUGUUUAUUAUAUGCACUUAUAUGAUUAACAAUGCGAAAGAUUCAGGAUACCUUCGGGACCCGUCUUGAAACACGGACCAAGGAGUCUAACAUAUUUGCAAGUUAUUGGGUAUCAAAACCUAAUAGCGAAAUUAACAUAACUUAUAUGGGAUUAGUUUUUAGAUUAUUUAUAGUCUAUUAAUUCAAUCCCGGGGCGUUCUAAUGUUAUGUAUAAUAAUAUUUAUAUUAUUUAUACCUCUAACUGGAGCGUACCUUGAGCAUAUAUGCUGUGACCCGAAAGAUGGUGAACUAUACUUGAUCAGGUUGAAGUCAGGGGAAACCCUGAUGGAAGACCGAAACAGUUCUGACGUGCAAAUCGAUUGUCAGAAUUGAGUAUAGGGGCGAAAGACCAAUCGA